RNAcentral lists this ribosomal RNA (442 nucleotides) under uncultured bacterium. RNAcentral describes it as "bacterial SSU rRNA". It matches the Rfam family "Bacterial small subunit ribosomal RNA", at positions 28 to 463 of the family's 1533-position model. The record is from RNAcentral.
GAUGAACGCUGGCGGCGUGCCUAACACAUGCAAGUCGAACGGACUUUUAAUGAAGCCUAGCGAUUUAAAAGUUAGUGGCGGACGGGUGAGUAACGCGUGGGUAACCUGCCUCACACUGGGGGGAUAACACUUAGAAAUAGGUGCUAAUACCGCAUAAGCGCACGAAGUCGCAUGACUUAGUGUGAAAAACUCCGGUGGUGUGAGAUGGACCCGCGUCUGAUUAGCUAGUUGGUGGGGUAACGGCCUACCAAGGCGACGAUCAGUAGCCGGCCUGAGAGGGUGAACGGCCACAUUGGGACUGAGACACGGCCCAAACUCCUAACGGGAGGCAGCAGUGGGGGAAUAUUGGGCAAUGGACGCAAGUCUGACCCAGCAACGCCGCGUGAAGGAGAAGGCUUCGGGUUGUAAGCUCUAUCAGCAGGAAGAAAUGACGGUACCUGAC